This 253-nucleotide ribosomal RNA is filed under the name uncultured bacterium. RNAcentral's name for it is "partial 16S ribosomal RNA". It matches the Rfam family "Bacterial small subunit ribosomal RNA", at positions 524 to 776 of the family's 1533-position model. The record is from RNAcentral.
UACGUAGGGGGCAAGCGUUGUCCGGAAUCAUUGGGCGUAAAGAGCGUGUAGGCGGCUCGGUAAGUCCGCUCUGAAAGCCCGGGGCUCAACCCCGGGAGGCGGGCGGAUACUGUCGGGCUAGAGUCCGGAAGAGGCGAGUGGAAUUCCUGGUGUAGCGGUGAAAUGCGCAGAUAUCGGGAGGAACACCGGUGGCGAAGGCAGAUCUCUGGGCCGUAACUGACGCUGAGGAGCGAAAGCAUGGGGAGCGAACAGG